CUAACACAUGCAGUCGAACGGCAGCCAGAGAGCUUGCUCUCUGGGUGGCGAGUGGCGGACGGGUAGAGGAAUACAUCGGAAUCUACUCUGUCGUGGGGGAUAACGUAGGAAACUACGCUAUACCGCAUACGACCUACGUGGUAGAAAGCAGGGGAUACUUCGGACCUUGCUGCGAUUAGAAUAGAGCCUGAUGUCGGAUAUAGCUAGUAUAGGCGGGGUAAAGGCCCACCAAANGCGACGAUCCAGUAAGCUAGGUCUUGAGAGGAUAGAUCAGCCACACUUGGAACUGAGACACGGUCCAAGACUCCUACGGGAGGCAGCAGUGGGGAAUAUUAGGACAAUGGGCGCAAGCCUNGAUCCAGCCAUACCGCGUGGGUGAAGAAGGC
This 386-nucleotide ribosomal RNA is filed under the name uncultured bacterium. RNAcentral describes it as "bacterial SSU rRNA". It matches the Rfam family "Bacterial small subunit ribosomal RNA", at positions 48 to 415 of the family's 1533-position model. The record is from RNAcentral.